Long non-coding RNA from Cucurbita maxima (winter squash), 779 nucleotides. RefSeq lists it as uncharacterized. NCBI's taxonomy places the organism in Eukaryota, Viridiplantae, Streptophyta, Magnoliopsida, Cucurbitales, Cucurbitaceae. The record is from RefSeq and is a predicted model, not a curated record. The transcript is spliced from 4 exons.
AAUUCAUAGUUGCACUUUCGUUGGAAUUUCUCUUCCCUCUUUAAAACGUUUCUCCCGCCCACCUCAUUCGACUCCCUACAACUUUGCUUCUUCGACUAGAUUCAUGGCGAUGCCUCUACAUUCGUCACAGUGCCAAAGCCCUUUAUCAACGCGGCUAAUUCACCUCCGUAUCUGCACGGCGACGAGUAAUCGGAGGACUGCGAAGAAGCGCUUUCAAAGUCCGCGCAGUUUCUAAGAAACGGGAGCCUGCGAAGGUGUUUCCUCAAGCUGAUAGAGUAUACUCGUCCGUCUUGAGCAGCGCCCUGAGGUGGAUUUGGGCACAGAUUCUAAGCACUGUUUCUGCAAAGCUGGUGAUUUGUUAGCUGUGGUUGAGUAGAGAAGCUUCCUCCAACACUACAAUCAGAUCAACAUCAGAUAUUUUCACUCAGAUUAGUUCUCUUCCCUGAUUCUCAUUUGCUUGUUGCUUCUGCAAUAUCUGAUCUUUGUUUUUGUCUUUAUUGCUUUGUGUGAUCCGUAUAAAGAUAUCAGUUCUUCUCAUUAGGAAGAAUACCUUACCUUAAAUUAUAUUUUAAAAAUUACUCAACCUUCAAAACAAAACUGAAGAAAAACAAGAAUAAAUGAUUUUUUUUAAUACUUUUUCCCCCUAGAGAAUGUAAAACCCUUUUCAAAUAAAUGAUUUUUGGUCUAAUUAUUGAUUUUUGGAUAGUUUGAUUCAUAAAAAUUUAGGAAUAAUAGGAUUCCAUAAACUUAAAAGACUUUAUGUAAUUCAAAUUAUUGUU